GGCAAGGUUAAGUCCGACGCAUUUUCAGAUCCGCCACCAUUUACCUUAGGACCUGGAGAAAAGACUGUUUCAGUUAGCUAGCUUGAAGGCCUGCUUGGGAAGCAAGAUAGACAAGGAUUUUUUUUCCCCAUCCUCUAGCCUCACGCCUUAUUUUUCUUUCACAAUUCUGGCCAAAGAAAGCAGUAACUCAUAAUCAGAAGAGAAUUUAUCAUGAAGUUAAUUAAGCUGUGUACCUAAUUUUGUAUCUGUCAUCGUGUAUUCUUAAAAGAAGACUCCGACAUUGUAUAAGUUCUGGAUCUGAACAAAACCUGGAUAAACUCUGGUGCUUUAUUAACUUGAUGAAGAUUAGUGACACUGAGGAAUACUGAGGAACCAGGCUCUAUUCCACCCCAUCCCCUUCAUACACACCUCAUUCCAAAUGCUAUCCUGUCACAGCAGAUGCCACAUCACUUUUGGGGUGGGCUAAGAGAUCAAGAUACACCUACAUUACCAUUUCAAGAGCAACUCAUGGAAGCAUCAGUCCUUUUCAUCUGUCAUUUUACAAGUAGGAAAACUUCAGCUUCUCAAGUGGGCUGGUUCUGUGAUCGACUUCUCUCAGUCUUGAAGAAAAC
This 611-nucleotide long non-coding RNA is filed under the name Homo sapiens (human). RNAcentral describes it as "non-protein coding lnc-JAK1-3:2". The record is from RNAcentral. Lineage: Eukaryota; Metazoa; Chordata; Mammalia; Primates; Hominidae.